This 327-nucleotide ribosomal RNA is filed under the name uncultured fungus. Its description in RNAcentral is "SSU rRNA". It matches the Rfam family "Eukaryotic small subunit ribosomal RNA", at positions 39 to 370 of the family's 1831-position model. The record is from RNAcentral. Lineage: Eukaryota; Fungi.
AAAGAUUAAGCCAUGCAUGUCUAAGUAUAAGCAAUUAUACCGUGAAACUGCGAAUGGCUCAUUAAAUCAGUUAUCGUUUAUUUGAUAGUACCUUACUACUUGGAUACCCGUGGUAAUUCUAGAGCUAAUACAUGCAAAAAACCCCGACUUCGGGAGGGGUGUAUUUAUUAGAUAAAAAACCAAUGCCCUUCGGGGCUCCUUGGUGAUUCAUAAUAACUUAACGGAUCGCAUGGCCUUGCGCCGGCGACGGUUCAUUCAAAUUUCUGCCCUAUCAACUUUCGAUGGUAAGGUAUUGGCUUACCAUGGUUUCAACGGGUAACGGGGAAU